AAAAGAAUCUCCAUCAUAGUAUUAGCUUAGGAUUCUUGAAACACAGGUUAAACCAAGAAAUUUACAGUGGCAUUUCAAAAAGGAUCAUACCAGCCAUGUUCCGAAGUGCAUUCUCAGCUGCCUGUUGCUGAGCAUGCUUCCUAGUCUUACCCAUUCCUACUCCAACUCUCUCACCGAUAAAGAAGACCUAAAGAUUAUUCAGGCUCAGAUUUCUGAACAUAAAACCUUAUGCCAUUUGUCGAAAUAUAGAUGCCAAAAUAAUUAUACACUUUUUUAUGAUCAACAAUGAUCGCAGCAGCACUCUCAUAUCAAAAUGAUUUUUUUCAAAGAUAGACAUUAAAAGACAGUUCAUAAGCACCACAAUUUUCAGACUCAAAUAUCAAGACAUACAGAUCCGUGAAUAUUAUUUUAUUUGGUUGUUUUUUAUUCAUAUGCUAAUUUUUUUUCCUUUUAUUAUUAGGCAGUGGACAUUAGAGGCAGAACAAUGAGCUCUGUAGUUUGAAGACGCUCCUGGUUUCGUCCCUAUCCCGAGUUCGUUGCUCCGAGAGAGGUACAUCUAUUUACCUUUAAUUUGUCCUUUUGUGUUUCAGAAUAAGAGUGUUAUGCGUUAUUGUGACUGAAAUAUUGAGCUUCUAGUUUGUAUCAGUUUGUUAGUUGAUACCAUUUGAUCUGUUGUCUUAAAGGUAACUUAGUCUUCUUCUAGUUUUUUCAAGAUGGUUUUGUAAUGACCCAAAAGCUCCUCUUAAGAAUUUUGAAUAUUUGUUUAACUUAAGUUAAUUAAUCAAUAGUUUAUGGACUAAAGUGAUAAUUUAUUUAAGACCCUAUACCCUUUAGACUAUAUUUAAUAAAAUAUGUGGAUAAAACCUAUCACUUUUAGUACUAAUUAAUUUUGAAAAGUAAAACAGAACGGAUGAAGGAUUUAUAGAUAGAACGGAGGAAGGGUUUAUAGCCGACUACAUAUUGCUGAAGGUAAGGAAUUUUAAUCUCUCCAUGCAUGCAAUUGAAUUAAUUCCUCUUCAUAAUUAUUUUGCUUUCAUUAAAUGCUAACUAUAUAUGUAUAUAAUAAAAUUAUAAUAGCAUAAAAAAAUUGAAAAGGGGUUGUGGGAAUUAAGAAAAAAAUGGCAGAUCUUAUAUCAAUAUGGUCCUGGCCAAUCAAAUUGUUGAAAGUAGUAAGGCCACCAUUGUUUUGUUUUUAUUAUUAAAUUAAUGUGGUACAUAUGAUAAAAGUGAAGGUGGUAGAGGUGAUGAUAUUAUCAUCAUUCUGGAGACUUGUAAACUUAGGGACAAAGGAUAGUGUUAACGUUACUAGUAUUAGUAUAAAAUUAUUGGAUAUCAAUUGGUCGAUAAGGGAAUUGGUUGGUUAGGAAUUUAUAUAUGUGUAUAAUUUUCAUACGUGCUACCAACAUUUCAAAUAAUAAUUAAGUUGAAUGCUCACUACAUGGUUUAGAUUGUUACUAUAUACAUUAAGGCCUUUGGGUUUAUUGAUUUUAACCAUUGAUUUCAUGACCAGUAAUUUCAAAAAAUUUGCAAUUUGUUAUGUUAUCAUCACCAUGUAAUUCUAGAUUUGAUACAUAAAAAUAGGUAACUAAAUAUUAGGUGUAUAAUAUGCUGGGGAAUGUCAUUACGAUAUUUGAAGGAAUUGGAAGAAUUCACAAGUUAAUGGGCAUCGAAAAUUAUGAACUUGCUUAUAAAUUUGGGUGAAUUUUUAAGGUGAAUGUCAAACACGUGAUAAGGUGGGUGUUGUUAGUUUCGAAAUCUUAUUGUGAAUAUAUACUUGAAUAGGUUGCAUCGAUUCGGAAGCUCAACGGAAAGGAAAGACUCAAGUCAUAGAGUGAUUAUUUGAUUGGCUAAGGCAAGUGAAUUUCUAAAUCCUUGUUAAGUGUAUGAAAUUCGUGUAUUUCCUUGUAUAGUGUUGAGAAUGACUUGGAGACUUGUUGCUUAUUUGUUGGUGUUGUAUUCCUCGUAGUAACUUGCGCUUUGUUAUCAAAAUGGUUAUCUCCUCAUUUUCAUUUGAGCAUGUCAAUUGCAUUGUAUCUGAGACAUGAUUGUUAUAAGGAUGUAUCAUUUCGAGGGUCGUAUCACACGCUGCGAUGGAUAUCAUAUUUUGAGGGACGUAUCGCGCGCUGCGAAGGUUACUAUUAUCGAGGGUCGUGUUGUGUCGUGCGCCGCGACAGAUGCAUGGAUAGAUAUGUCCCCCAUGGGUCCUGGACUGAGAGACAGCGGGUGUGUAUCGUUAGGGAAGACAUGCAUCACUAUACUUGACAUUACAUCUCAUGGCAUUGCACAUUUAUUAUUGAUGAACUUGAACACGUGUUUUGCUGAUCUUGUGAGUGUUUCUCUUUGAAGCUUGUGACUGUUGAAUAUUGAGUUGUUAUUGAGAAUGUGUAAACUGAUAGAGUGUGGUUAUUGAGUUUUGCGUUUGGUAAACUGUAAACUGUUAGACUGUAGCGUGGAGGUUUAGAUAGGGUGUAA
RNAcentral lists this long non-coding RNA (2472 nucleotides) under Solanum lycopersicum (tomato). RNAcentral describes it as "long non-coding RNA (SLYC_LNC000294)". Lineage: Eukaryota; Viridiplantae; Streptophyta; Magnoliopsida; Solanales; Solanaceae. The record is from RNAcentral.